Molecule: long non-coding RNA, 764 nt
Organism: Cebus imitator (Panamanian white-faced capuchin)
Lineage: Eukaryota; Metazoa; Chordata; Mammalia; Primates; Cebidae
Exons: 3
Source: RefSeq, a predicted model, not a curated record
GCAGCUGGAACAGGCUAUAAGGCUCAAGGGCUCAUGUGCCUAAUACAGGUCUUUAUUCAAGCAGGUAUUGUUCAAAUAGAGGUGCCUAUGAUGAAAAGUACAGCUGUUCAAAGUCACUUUGCCUCAAAUAACUGGAGACUAAAGGUUGAGUGGCAGAUUUGUAAUUCUUUAUCUUUAAAUAUCUCUGUAUAUUUUAAAAGUAAUACAUGUUCAUUUAGUCUGAAAAACUUCAAUUAGCACAAAUUCAUACAGAGUAAAAUGUAAAACACUCAUUGAUCAGGAUUUUUACCAACCAACUUCAUUCCUAGAGAUCCAUUUUUUUUUCCUGAGCCUGACUGAAACCAUGAUAAGAUCCGCAGUUCCCGGGGUGAGCCUGAUUUCAGAGCUCAGUGAUCUGAAGGAUAGAGAUCGUUCAGAAAAAGAACUCAUUAGCAUGACUCAAGAGUCUUGGAAGAUGACUGAGCAGAGGCCUGGCAACAUGAGGUGACUCCUUCAGCAUCACUCAGCAUGCUGGUGGCAGAGCUGGGAUCCAGGUGAGCUUACUUUUGAUGAGGCAUUUGCUUGUUGUGUUAAAUGACAACACUUCUACGUGGACUGGUUUUUUCUUUUUUCUUUUAGUGGCACUGCUAUCCUUCCCUAACCUCAUUAGUUUGUGACUGCAAAUACAUGCUUUCCUGUGGUUUAGCCUUUUUGCUGUCAUCUGCCUCUAAUUGCUGGAAAGGUUUUCUUUAUGCUGAGCUGAAAUCUCCUGUUUCAUUCUAACU